Molecule: ribosomal RNA, 274 nt
Filed under: uncultured bacterium
Lineage: Bacteria
Description: partial 16S ribosomal RNA
Rfam family: Bacterial small subunit ribosomal RNA
Source: RNAcentral
AUACAGAGGGUGCGAGCGUUAAUCGGAAUUACUGGGCGUAAAGCGCGCGUAGGCGGUUUAUCAAGUUAGGCGUGAAAGGCCUGGGCUCAACCCGGGAAUUGCGCUUAAUACUGGUAGACUUGAGUCCGGGAGAGGGUGGCGGAAUUCCCAGUGUAGAGGUGAAAUUCGUAGAUAUUGGGAAGAACACCAGUGGCGAAGGCGGCCACCUGGCCCGGUACUGACGCUGAGGUGCGAAAGCGUGGGGAGCAAACAGGAUUAGAAACCCCAGUAGUCC